Molecule: ribosomal RNA, 152 nt
Filed under: Escherichia coli
Lineage: Bacteria; Pseudomonadati; Pseudomonadota; Gammaproteobacteria; Enterobacterales; Enterobacteriaceae
Description: partial 23S ribosomal RNA
Rfam family: Bacterial large subunit ribosomal RNA (bases 1-135)
Source: RNAcentral
GCCCCGAGAUGAGUUCUCCCUGACCCUUUAAGGGUCCUGAAGGAACGUUGAAGACGACGACGUUGAUAGGCCGGGUGUGUAAGCGCAGCGAUGCGUUGAGCUAACCGGUACUAAUGAACCGUGAGGCUUAACCUUACAACGCCGAAGCUGUU